Molecule: non-coding RNA, 118 nt
Organism: Aedes albopictus (Asian tiger mosquito)
Lineage: Eukaryota; Metazoa; Arthropoda; Insecta; Diptera; Culicidae
Source: Rfam
UGCCCAGCAACUCCUAUCCCUAUCUCCACGCGGUACCGGUCGGAAACUAUGAGCAACCUUAGGAAAGAUCGGGUAACCAACCCCGGUGGGAACUUUGGUCGUAGGCUGACAGGGAAGA